UACACAUCAGUCGAACGAGAAUGAGGGGGCAACUCCUCUAGUAAAGUGGCGGACGGGUGCGUAACACGUGGGUAAUGUACCUUCUGGCGGGGGACAACAAUCCGAAAGGAUUGCUAAUACCGCAUAUAGUCAGCGAGGUCCUCGGACCUUGUUGGGAAAGGUGGCCUCUCCUUGGAAGCUGCCACCAGAAGAUCAGCCCGCGGCCCAUCAGCUAGUUGGUGAGGUAACGGCUCACCAAGGCUAAGACGGGUAGCUGGUCUGAGAGGAUGAUCAGCCACACUGGGACUGCGACACGGCCCAGACUCCUACGGGAGGCAGCAGUGGGGAAUAUUGGGCAAUGGGCGGAAGCCUGACCCAGCCACGCCGCGUGAGUGAUGAAGGCCUUCGGGUCGUAAAGCUCUGUGGGGAGGGACGAAUAAGUCUGUGGUUAACAACCACGGGCCCUGACGGUACCUCCUUAGCAAGCACCGGCUAACCAUGUGCCAGCAGCCGCGGUAAU
This 499-nucleotide ribosomal RNA is filed under the name uncultured bacterium. RNAcentral's name for it is "bacterial SSU rRNA". It matches the Rfam family "Bacterial small subunit ribosomal RNA", at positions 50 to 524 of the family's 1533-position model. The record is from RNAcentral.